This 253-nucleotide ribosomal RNA is filed under the name uncultured bacterium. RNAcentral describes it as "partial 16S ribosomal RNA". It matches the Rfam family "Bacterial small subunit ribosomal RNA", at positions 524 to 776 of the family's 1533-position model. The record is from RNAcentral.
UACGUAGGGGGCAAGCGUUGUCCGGAUUUAUUGGGCGUAAAGAGCGUGUAGGCGGCCAGGUAGGUCUGCUGUGAAAACUCGAGGCUUAACCUCGAGCUGUCGGCGGAAACCAUCUGGCUAGAGUCCGGAAGAGGAGAGUGGAAUUCCCGGUGUAGCGGUGAAAUGCGCAGAUAUCGGAAGGAACACCUGUGGCGAAAGCGGCUCACUGGACCAUAACUGACGCUGAGGCGCGAAAGCUAGGGGAGCAAACAGG